Long non-coding RNA from Hypomesus transpacificus, 1344 nucleotides. RefSeq lists it as uncharacterized. Lineage: Eukaryota; Metazoa; Chordata; Actinopteri; Osmeriformes; Osmeridae. The record is from RefSeq and is a predicted model, not a curated record. The transcript is spliced from 3 exons.
GCGCCAUCGUUUUCUUCUCAUUCUUUCGUGUAACCACAGCAUACAAUGUCAGUUCCUGUGCAGGGUUGUAAGAUUGCCCAAGACUCACUUAAAGUUAGACUGCUCAAGACUGACUCAGAGAAAGAUACGGUAAACCGUGUGGUUUUCAUGUAGCGGGGACGAACCAGCACAGAAAGAGUUCAGGUAUGGUGGUCAAACACAGACGCCUACUCAUAGACACGAGGAGGCACGUAGGAGACUUUUUAGAUGCUGGUGUGUGGUGUGCUGAUGCAGAUAUGACGGCGUUAGUAGCUAGCAUUCUUCUCUCUUCAGUUUUUCUAUUUCAGUCUGGAGUGUGAACACGUGUUUGCUAAUGGCUGAACGUCCUGGGCCUCCUUCAUGGAUAUGUGUGGUUGUGAUGUCCAUUUUUCUGGGCACAGAUGGCCUGCAGGUGAGGUACCGCAAAGCCUAUCUCCUUGGGGUAGAGGGCCAGUCUCUGACGUUGACCUGCAAUGUGGAGUAUAACUUCACAAUGUGCGGCCAACUUGACCUUUCCUGGUAUCAACUGAAAGAAGGAAAACGAUCUGGGCUCACUGAUAUCCAAAAGUACCUCACCACUGUCAAUGAGACACACCUUGAACCCAUCAGGCAUAGACAGACUGUCACUGAAUUCCUCCAACUGGCCCCUGAAGACCAAGGUCUCUUUCAGUGUGUUGCUCGUUGUGACAGUGAGGAAGCCAUGGGACACUUCAUCAACAUUACCGUCAAAGCUGCCCCCAAAGACAGUCAGCAGAGUGCAAACAAUGGAGGCCUGAAUAGAGGUCAUGAUACCAGCCUGACUCUAUGGUCCCUUCUGCCUGUCUGGGGCUCACUCAAAGUAGUAUACACAUAUAUAUAAAACACAUUAUGUAUCUUAAUUUAUGUCUAAACUUAUCUGUAGUGCUUCUAAAGUACUGUUUUGGAAAACACCAUAGAAAGGGUGUUCUCACAACAUCAAAUAUAUUCUAUUGUUCAUUGGAUUUGUGUUUUUCACUAGAGAUCAUACUAAAUAUUUCACAAAAUUGUUUUACUCAUAAAUGUGUUGUAUUUGUGGCUGGUCCAUUGUGAUUAGACUUGUGUUCUGCCAGAUAAAAAGACAUGAAUGAUGAGGCUUAUUUUUGGACAGACACCCUCAUCACCGAUUCAACCUGAAUGUAUUUUUCUCAUCUCAUUUUAAGUUAGACAUCAUCAGACAUAGGAGUUUUUCAUGCGCCUCAAUCUAUGAUGAUCCUUUCCCUGCUCAAGAAAUCACAACAAAGUUAAGCAUCAUCAUUGUGUAAAGGAGCACUUGUUUGAGCUUUUGCUGAUUAAAGUUGGUGUAACUGU